Sarcophilus harrisii (Tasmanian devil) is the source of this 1066-nucleotide long non-coding RNA. RefSeq lists it as uncharacterized. The transcript is spliced from 4 exons. Lineage: Eukaryota; Metazoa; Chordata; Mammalia; Dasyuromorphia; Dasyuridae. The record is from RefSeq and is a predicted model, not a curated record.
AGCCUUGCAGAAAUCCAGCAGAUGCAGCCGGGGCUCCUUUCUAACAAAUCCUAAAGGGCAGCCAUCUUGCUUCCUUCUGCUCCUCUACGAAAGCAGCUUAGCCUCCGCAUCAAUAUUCAUAAGAUGUCUCCUUGGUGUCAUAAAAUGGGGAAGAGAGGAUAAAUGUUUUCCAUGUGAAGGAAGAAAGAUCUUGGCACUGGGACAGAUAGAAGCAAAACAGCCAAAAGGAAAAAAAUGGCGGCCUCCAGGUGGUUGUUGGAGCUGAAAAGAUUAAGGAAAUCCAAGCCUUGAUGUACCAUGCCAGAUCUAACCCUGUGAAUUGGACAGAAAAUGUAGCUCGAAUAAAUGUGUAAUAUCUAUUCAGCAGAUUCAUUAAAUGUCUUUUUCUCCUAGAGCAGUAUGAGAGAUGUGUUGGAUUGAUGGUUUCUAUUUUGAGAAUUUGUUAAUUCUCAUGGGUUACUUUUAUUUUAGGAAUUGUUUCAUGGAUUAAAAAAAAAAAAAAAAACAGCCAUUGGGGUAUCCUGUACCUGAGAUCUAUUUUGUUUUGAAUGCCUUUUCUAGAAGGAACCCUUUUAGUGUCUUAGGAGAGAACCUGGAAUUUCUUUGGAAUUCUGAGUUGAAGACAGAGAACCAAGAAGAUAUGCAAAAGCCUUAUUCCCUCUGUUUGAGGUCUGGUUACCUUAGAACUGAGCCUGUUCUGUUUGAAUACUGAGAAAAGCCCUUUUUUCUGAGACUAUUUCCUGGCAGUCUGUUAUGUACUCAUCAGUACAUAAAACAUUGAUACAUAUAAAACAUAUGACAUAGAAUGCAUUUAAAUGUCUUCAGUGUCAAUUUUUCUGGAUAUAUGUACAACACACAAACAAUACAUGUGUAUCUGUAUGUAUGGACUUUCAGAACUAUAGUAGCUAUUGCAUUACAAAAUUAUUCUGCAUAAGUGUAUAUAUAUAUAUAUAUAUAUAUAUACACACACAUGAAUAUACAUUUCUGCUACAUGUCCAUGUUUCUUUUUUCAUAGAUUUAUUUUUGCUUCUUUGUCUGUCUGUCUGUCUGUCUGUCUCUAUCUCUG